CGGCAGGCUUAACACAUGCAAGUCGACGGGUAACGAUUUUGAGUAAUCAAAAGGCGACGACCGGCGCACGGGUGAGUAUCGCGUAUGUAACCUACCUCUGACUGGAGCAGAGCCCGAAGAAAUUCGGAUUAAUACUCCAUAAUACUGCGAGAAGGCAUCUUUUUUCAGUUAAAGCUUCGGCGGUCAGAGAUGGGCCUGCGUAAACAUAAGCUGGUUGGUGAGGUAACAGCUCACCAAGGCUACGAUGUUUAGGGGGUCUGAGAGGAUGGUCCCCCACACUGGUACUGAGACACGGACCAGAGUCGCGACGGGAGGCAGCAGUGAGGAAUAUUGGUCAAUGGGCGAAAGCCUGAACCAGCCAUGCCGCGUGAAGGAUGACGGCCCUAUGGGUUGUAAACUUCUUUUAUACGGGAAGAAACCCCUCUACGUGUAGGGGGCUGACGGUACCGUACGAAUAAGCAUCGGCUAACUCCGUGCCAGCAGCCGCGGUAAUACGGAGGAUGCAAGCGUUAUCCGGAUUUAUUGGGUUUAAAGGGUGCGUAGGCGGAAAAUUAAGUCAGUGGUGAAAUCCUGCAGCUUAACUGUAGAAUUGUCAUUGAUACUGGUUUUCUUGAAUACAGUUGAGGUAGGCGGAAUGAGUAAUGUAGCGGUGACAUGCUUAGAUAUUACUCAGAACACCAAUUGCGAAGGCAGCUUACUAAACUGUGAUUGACGCUGAGGCACGAAAGCGUGGGGAAGCGAACAGGAUUAGAUACCCUGGUA
Molecule: ribosomal RNA, 762 nt
Filed under: uncultured organism
Description: bacterial SSU rRNA
Rfam family: Bacterial small subunit ribosomal RNA
Source: RNAcentral